This is a long non-coding RNA of Erpetoichthys calabaricus (reedfish), 770 nucleotides long. RefSeq lists it as uncharacterized. The transcript has 3 exons. NCBI's taxonomy places the organism in Eukaryota, Metazoa, Chordata, Cladistia, Polypteriformes, Polypteridae. The record is from RefSeq and is a predicted model, not a curated record.
UUUCGUAUCUCGCGCACGUUAACGUCGCUAUUCUGAUAAUUAAAAGACGGCCACACUCUUCGUGUUUUCUGUCAGCGGAAUAUUAAUUCCAACAACAUACGGAACGAAGACGGGCAGGCUUCUCGUUUUAUUUCACUUGGUGGGCAAACUCUUCAUCACGGUGGAGUCGAGUCUUUCCACGUCUCGCGAGGCCGUGGCGUCACCAGUGGGGUACGAGGGCGAGCACGAGCGCGGGAAGUGAAGACACGCACCUGUUCGGUACAAGGUCACGUGUGUCAAAUUUUAGACGCGAAUUGCUUCAUAGGUUUUGUGAAAUGAGUGGCUGAUAAAAUAUUACAAAAUCCUGGGACAGUCUCUGCCUGAAAGGUGAUGAUGUCAUGCUAAGAAGAGUGCCAAAAGUAAGCAGCCAGCAUUGAGUACCAUUAUAAACAACAAAAUGGCAGUGUCCAUGAAAACAGCAUCCAAAAUGGUGGCACCAUGAGAAAACAGCCAUACAAAAUAACAAUACAACGACAUCACUUUAAUAAUAAUGAAAUAUGUUAAAAAUAAAAAUAAAAUGAAUAACUUUUAGAAAAUAACAGGCUUGUGUCUAACAUGUUCCUAAUAGUAGGAAGGAAAGAAAGGAAAAAAGGUUGCUGUUGAAAAUGUAGUCUGUCACUGGCUUUAAUUACCUGUCAUCCUGAGGAGUUAUAGUUCAAAUCAUGAGAGAAAGAAAAAGAAGAAAAGCAUGUAAAAAAAGCAAUGUGGAGUGAAAAAACUCAACUGUUGUA